AUUGAACGCUGGCGGCAGGCUUAACACAUGCAAGUCGAGCGGGGAAAGGUAGCUUGCUACCUGACCUAGCGGCGGACGGGUGAGUAAUGCUUAGGAAUCUGCCUAUUAGUGGGGGACAACAUCUCGAAAGGGAUGCUAAUACCGCAUACGUCCUACGGGAGAAAGCAGGGGACCUUCGGGCCUUGCGCUAAUAGAUGAGCCUAAGUCGGAUUAGCUAGUUGGUGGGGUAAAGGCCUACCAAGGCGACGAUCUGUAGCGGGUCUGAGAGGAUGAUCCGCCACACUGGGACUGAGACAAGGCCCAGACUCCUACGGGAGGCAGCAGUGGGGAAUAUUGGACCAUGGGGGGAACCCUGAUCCAGCCAUGCCGCGUGUGUGAAGAAGGCCUUUUGGUUGUAAAGCACUUUAAGCGAGGAGGAGGCUACCGAGAUUAAUACUCUUGGAUAGUGGACGUUACUCGCAGAAUAAGCACCGGCUAACUCUGUG
Molecule: ribosomal RNA, 485 nt
Filed under: uncultured bacterium
Lineage: Bacteria
Description: partial 16S ribosomal RNA
Rfam family: Bacterial small subunit ribosomal RNA
Source: RNAcentral